CCCUUAGAUGUUCUGGGCUGCACGCGCGCUACACUGACACACGCAACGAGUCUCCUGCCCUGACAGGGUCGGGUAAUCAUUUGAGUGUGUGUCGUGAUGGGGAUAGAGUAUUGCAAUUAUUGCUCUUGAACGAGGAAUUCCUAGUAAGCACAAGUCAGCAGCUUGUGCUGAUUACGUCCCUGCCCUUUGUACACACCGCCCGUCGCUCCUACCGAUUGGGUGUGCUGGUGAAAUGUUCGGAUCGGCCGUUUGUCGCGGUUUCCGCGUCAUGUGGCUGAGAAGUUCAUUAAACCCUCCCACCUAGAGGAAGGAGAAGUCGUAACA
This 324-nucleotide ribosomal RNA is filed under the name uncultured eukaryote. RNAcentral describes it as "partial 18S ribosomal RNA". It matches the Rfam family "Eukaryotic small subunit ribosomal RNA", at positions 1470 to 1796 of the family's 1831-position model. The record is from RNAcentral.